UGGGCGUAAGAGCUCGUAGGCGGUCUGUCGCGUCUGCUGUGAAAACCCGAGGCUCAACCUCGGGCCUGCAGUGGGUACGGGCAGACUAGAGUGCGGCAGGGGAGAAUGGAAUUCCUGGUGUAGCGGUGGAAUGCGCAGAUAUCAGGAGGAACACCGAUGGCGAAGGCAGUUCUCUGGGCCGUAACUGACGCUGAGGAGCGAAAGCGUGGGGAGCGAACAGGAUUAGAUACCCUGGUAGUCCACGCCGUAAACGUUGGGCGCUAGAUGUGGGGACCAUUCCACGGUUUCCGUGUCGCAGCUAACGCAUUAAGCGCCCCGCCUGGGGAGUACGGCCGCAAGGCUAAAACUCAAAGGAAUUGACGGGGGCCCGCACAAGCGGCGGAGCAUGCGGAUUAAUUCGAUGCAACGCAAAGAACCUUACCAAGGCUUGACAUACACGAGAACGCCCUAAAAAUAGGGAACUCUUUGGACACUCGUGAACAGGUGGUGCAUGGUUGUCGUCAUCUCGUGUCGAGAGAUGUUGGGUUAAGUCCCGCAACGAGCGCAACCCUCGUUCUAUGUUGCCAGCGCGUAAUGGCGGGAACUCAUAGAAGACUGCCGGGGUCAACUCGGAGGAAGGUGGGGAUGACG
RNAcentral lists this ribosomal RNA (630 nucleotides) under Leifsonia sp. Its description in RNAcentral is "bacterial SSU rRNA". It matches the Rfam family "Bacterial small subunit ribosomal RNA", at positions 555 to 1184 of the family's 1533-position model. Lineage: Bacteria; Bacillati; Actinomycetota; Actinomycetes; Micrococcales; Microbacteriaceae. The record is from RNAcentral.